This 250-nucleotide unclassified non-coding RNA is filed under the name plant metagenome. RNAcentral's name for it is "partial contains small subunit ribosomal RNA, internal transcribed spacer 1, and 5.8S ribosomal RNA". The stretch from base 1 to 53 matches the Rfam family "Eukaryotic small subunit ribosomal RNA", at positions 1779 to 1831 of the family's 1831-position model. The record is from RNAcentral.
GGAGUAAAAGUCGUAACAAGGUCUCCGUAGGUGAACCUGCGGAGGGAUCAUUACAGAGUUCAUGCCCUACCGGGCAGAUCUCCCACCCUAUGUUAUUAUUACUUUGUUGCUUUGGCGGGCCGUUAGGCUCCGGCCCGACUACCGGCCCCGGCUGGUAAGCGCCCGCCAGAGGACCCAAAACCCUGAAUAUUAGUGUCGUCUGAGUACUAUAUAAUAGUUAAAACUUUCAACAACGGAUCUCUUGGUUCUG